CAUCUUUACAAAGCACGGUGAAAGAGGCUGUUUGUUUCUCCCGAGCUCUGUGGAGAUCUGCAAAACAUAAACACUCAGUGCUCACCUCAAAGGCAAACCAUAGUGACCACAUCCCCAGGAAGCUUGGAAAAGACUCAGGAUGGAUCCAAGUACUGGGAGAAGGAAAUCUCUAGAUCUGUGAGGGGUCAGACACUGCAAAACCACACUCUCUGAGCUCUGGAUCCUGCUGGAAUAGGCAGAGGAUACAGCUGACCAAUUUGGACCCUCUGUGUUGUGAGAUCGUCUGCAACACAGCAACUUAUGUCAAGCUGGGGUGGGGGGUAUCCAAAUGCUAGAGCCUUCAGCCCAGCAUCCAGAUGAACCAGGUCUCCUAGCCCAGGCUUUAUAACUAAUAGGACGUCUAUGGAGAGGCUCAUGAAGGGUAUAAAAAUCUCCUCAAAGUA
Ictidomys tridecemlineatus (thirteen-lined ground squirrel) is the source of this 443-nucleotide non-coding RNA. The record is from RefSeq and is a predicted model, not a curated record. NCBI's taxonomy places the organism in Eukaryota, Metazoa, Chordata, Mammalia, Rodentia, Sciuridae.